RNAcentral lists this transfer RNA (85 nucleotides) under Felis catus (domestic cat). It matches the Rfam family "tRNA". Rfam says of the family: Transfer RNA (tRNA) molecules are approximately 80 nucleotides in length. Their secondary structure includes four short double-helical elements and three loops (D, anti-codon, and T loops). Lineage: Eukaryota; Metazoa; Chordata; Mammalia; Carnivora; Felidae. The record is from Rfam by way of RNAcentral.
ACCUGGGUGGCUCAGUCGGUUAAGCGUCUGACUUUGGCUCAGGUCAUGAUCUCACGGUUCGUGGGUUCAAGCCCCAUGUCAGGCU